Non-coding RNA from Ataeniobius toweri, 72 nucleotides. The record is from the annotation of a GenBank genome assembly. Lineage: Eukaryota; Metazoa; Chordata; Actinopteri; Cyprinodontiformes; Goodeidae.
UGCACGGUGGUGUAGUUUGUAGCACUGUAACAAGGUCCUGGGUUCAACUCCCAGCUGGGGGUCUUUCUGCAU